Molecule: long non-coding RNA, 2279 nt
Filed under: Betta splendens (Siamese fighting fish)
Lineage: Eukaryota; Metazoa; Chordata; Actinopteri; Anabantiformes; Osphronemidae
Description: lncRNA (ENSBSLG00000010908.1)
Source: RNAcentral
AGGAUACUGAAUGUUGGAAAUAGACCUGCACAAGUCUCCUGUUUUUCCCUGCUUUGGAUAUUUUUCUUCCUGACUGAUUCGCAGCGCGGCUGAAGGUGUUUCCUGCGUGUUGAGACGUUACCUCUCUUGAACCGACAGACAGUCUGUUUUGCAGCCUCUGCUUAUGAGUAAACAGUCGGCUGCGGAAGGAGCUGCGUGAAAUCAGAUUAACCUGCGCGUCAGCCGGAGUCAGACUGAAGGUGUGAAGGUGAACAUCUGGGGGGUGUGGAGGGAAACAGACGCCGGUUCCUCCCGGGCGCCCGAGGCGGCGGCGGCUGAGGUGCGCUGUUGGAGGCCAGUGUCGGUGUGGACCAGAGCCGGACCCGUCCCUGUCUGUCCGUCCAGGGGAACCGGCAGGGCCCGUUUGCCUCACGGAACAAAAGCUGCUCGGGUCCUAUUUCCUCAACGGCGACCGCGGCGGAAAGCGAAGCGGGACGCGUGCGGAGGGUCCACUCGUGCCGCUGUGGGUGAGAGUGGGCGCAGAGUGACGCCGUUAGUCACUGAGUGGGAGCGCGUUGUGCAACCUGCCUCUGAUCGCUGCCCGGCGUAUUAUUCCUCCCACGCGUUCCCGUUCUAUUAAAGCGCUUUUGUGUGUGAAACGCAAACAUGUCACAGCCGUCGACUGCAUGUCUUCCCUCGCGCCGGCUCCGCUUUCAAAUGUCUGUGAGAGCGCGACGCCUCACGUGUUGAAAAGACGGCAGCAUAUUACUGGAUUAUCCCAUCUGAAAUGAAAUCUCUGGCUUCAUUUAUUUAUUUUAUUCUUUAUUGUUGAGGCUUGUUUGCUGUGGUGACUAUGCAAAUAUCAGCCUGUGCUUUCAUUCUAUGGAGCAUUGUCCUGUACGUGAUCCCACGACUGAGAGACAUGUUGCGGUGGAUCUGAUGGAUGAUACGUCCUGUGACGUUUAAGUCUGAAGUGAUUUUGUGUCUAAGCGAAGCCAGUGACGCGCUUUUACCCUCAGCGAUUUAACAAUGAGGUGAGAUGACAUCUGGACUCAGUGGCGUGAAGAGCGCCUGCAUUAGAGACCAUUCAUUCGUUCAUAUCAUAGAGAAACACCAGCUCUCACCCUGUCUCCUGACUUUCAAUCCAGACAGGUGUGUCUUUCCUGCCACAAACGUCCCCUGAGUCCGACUCAGACGUCGGUGCUUGACUUGCAGCCACUAACUGUUAUCAGUGACCCACAUAUUUCCUCUCUCAAGUUCCGACCCCGCUUGCGUCCUGCAAACUGUGUCUGUGCAGCGCUGACCCAGAAACCCGCCCCCAUCGGGUUCCAGUGGCUGCACGUAUCCGCCGCCACUGGCGGCCGCGGCGGUGAAAUCAGUCGCUCUAAGCGGCGGAUUUGGCCGCAUCCAUGUUAAACGUCUGCGUUCUUCCAUCAUCCUCCGAUCUGGCGUGUGUCGCCCUCUAUCGCGCUCGCGAUAUUAAUAUUUCGCAGCAGAAGAAGUCGUGCGUUAGCAUUAUGUAGAUCGUUCCUCCCACAGUAUCUGGCCUGCGCUCAUGUUGUCUUAUUAUUCUUCACAUGAGGGUCCUUUCGGACUCUGGGACAGAACCUCUCUAUGAGUCAUGCUCCGGCGUUGACAUGUAACUCCGUUGGGAUCCAGACAUUUUAACAAGCGCGUACGAGGCGUCGCCUCCACUCAUGCUCAGCUCGCGAGGGAGGAAACGCGCGGAUGACUUCCUCCGGAGGCCCUGCGUCUCGGGGCCGCGUGCGCUCCCCGCUCGCCGCUCUGACUCACAGGCUUCCACUUCUCCUCUGUCCGGCUCGCCGUCCCUCAUUUAGCCCCUGAGCACCGGCCGUGCCUGUGACCCCCGCUCAGAGUCAGAGCCCACGACAAGGACAGCUGGUUAUUAUCAAUCACACCAGCAGUCGCCUCAUUGUAACCAACUGCAGUCCAUGUAAAGUCUCCUUUAGGUUCACACGCACAUCUGGCCAGAGCUGUAAAGCGUUGGUGUGUUGGCUCUAAUGGCUUCAUGGAGAUGUGAGGUAAGAGGAGCCAUCACCGCCUGGUGCAGAGUGUUUCUGUAAGUGGAUGGAGCAGCGUUACGGCCUUUUCCAGAAAACCCGUUUCCACAAAGCGAACCUCUCCUCGUCCUCGUCUCCGCUGGGAAUUAAAAUGCCUCCGUUGGACGGCAACGUCCGCCGCCGAGGCUGACAGCGACCCGCUGGAGGGUCAAUUCGCCUCACUGGGGACCUGCUGUAGAUAAAUGAUAAAUAAAUGAUAAAUAAAUGCUUUUUUUUCCA